GACAGAGGGUGCAAACGUUGCUCGGAAUCACUGGGCGUAAAGGGCGUGUAGGCGGGACGGUAAGUCGGGGCGUGAAAUCCCUAGGCUCAACCUAGGAACUGCACUCGAAACUACCAUUCUUGAGUGUCGGAGAGGAAAGCGGAAUUCCUGGUGUAGCGGUGAAAUGCGCAGAUAUCAGGAGGAACACCGGUGGCGAAGGCGGGUCUCUGGGCCGAGUGACUGACGCUGGAGGAGCGAAAGCGUGGGGAGCAAACAGG
This 257-nucleotide ribosomal RNA is filed under the name uncultured bacterium. RNAcentral's name for it is "partial 16S ribosomal RNA". It matches the Rfam family "Bacterial small subunit ribosomal RNA", at positions 524 to 776 of the family's 1533-position model. The record is from RNAcentral.